This 925-nucleotide ribosomal RNA is filed under the name uncultured Porphyromonas sp. Its description in RNAcentral is "bacterial SSU rRNA". It matches the Rfam family "Bacterial small subunit ribosomal RNA", at positions 8 to 923 of the family's 1533-position model. Lineage: Bacteria; Pseudomonadati; Bacteroidota; Bacteroidia; Bacteroidales; Porphyromonadaceae. The record is from RNAcentral.
AGAGUUUGAUCCUGGCUCAGGAUGAACGCUAGCGAUAGGCUUAACACAUGCAAGUCGAGGGGUAACGUGUUGGAAGCUUGCUUCCGAUGACGACGACCGGCGGAUGGGUGCGUAACGCGUAUGCAACUUGCCUCACAGCGGAGAAUAACCCGGAGAAAUCCGGACUAAUGCUCCAUACACUCUUAGGGACCCAUGUCCCUGAGAGGAAAGAUUUAUCGCUGUGAGAUAGGCAUGCGUCCUAUUAGGUAGUUGGUGAGGUAACGGCUCACCAAGCCGACGAUAGGUAGGGGUGCUGAGAGGCAGAUCCCCCACAUUGGGACUGAGACACGGCCCAAACUCCUACGGGAGGCAGCAGUGAGGAAUAUUGGUCAAUGGAGGAAACUCUGAACCAGCCAAGUCGCGUGAAGGAAGAAUGUCCUAAGGAUUGUAAACUUCUUUAGCGAGCGAGUAAGGACUUCCACGUGAUGGGAGUUUGAAAGUAGCUCGAGAAUAAGUAUCGGCUAACUCCGUGCCAGCAGCCGCGGUAAUACGGAGGAUACGAGCGUUAUCCGGAUUUAUUGGGUUUAAAGGGUGCGCAGGUGGUCCUGCAAGUCAGUGGUGAAAAGCUGAGGCUCAACCUCAGCCUUGCCGUUGAAACUGCAAGACUUGAGAGUACAUGAUGUGGGCGGAAUGCGUAGUGUAGCGGUGAAAUGCAUAGAUAUUACGCAGAACUCCGAUUGCGAAGGCAGCUCACAAAGGUAUAUCUGACACUGAGGCACGAAAGCGUGGGGAGCAAACAGGAUUAGAUACCCUGGUAGUCCACGCCGUAAACGAUGAUUACUCGAAGUAUGCGAUAUGACAGUAUGCUUCCAAGCGAAAGUGAUAAGUAAUCCACCUGGGGAGUACGCCGGCAACGGUGAAACUCAAAGGAAUUGACGGGGGCCCG